UACCUAGUUCACAGGGUUCUUGCCAAGC
This 28-nucleotide non-coding RNA is filed under the name Mus musculus (house mouse). Lineage: Eukaryota; Metazoa; Chordata; Mammalia; Rodentia; Muridae. The record is from RNAcentral.